This 468-nucleotide ribosomal RNA is filed under the name uncultured bacterium. RNAcentral describes it as "partial 16S ribosomal RNA". It matches the Rfam family "Bacterial small subunit ribosomal RNA", at positions 28 to 507 of the family's 1533-position model. The record is from RNAcentral.
GACGAACGCUGGCGGCGUGCUUAACACAUGCAAGUCGAACGGAAAGGCCCUGCUUUUGUGGGGUGCUCGAGUGGCGAACGGUUGAGUAACACGUGAGUAACCUGCCCUUGACUUUGGGAUAACUUCAGGAAACUGGGGCUAAUACCGGAUAGGAGCUCCUGCUGCAUGGUGGGGGUUGGAAAGUUUCGGCGGUUGGGGAUGGACUCGCGGCUUAUCAGCUUGUUGGUGGGGUAGUGGCUUACCAAGGCUUUGACGGGUAGCCGGCCUGAGAGGGUGACCGGCCACAUUGGGACUGAGAUACGACCCAGACUCCUACGGGAGGCAGCAGUGGGGAAUAUUGCACAAUGGGCGGAAGCCUGAUGCAGCAACGCCGCGUGCGGGAUGACGGCCUUCGGGUUGUAAACCGCUUUCGCCUGUGACGAAGCGUGAGUGACGGUAAUGGGUAAAGAAGCACCGGCUAACUACGUG